RNAcentral lists this ribosomal RNA (305 nucleotides) under uncultured bacterium. RNAcentral describes it as "partial 16S ribosomal RNA". It matches the Rfam family "Bacterial small subunit ribosomal RNA", at positions 508 to 807 of the family's 1533-position model. The record is from RNAcentral.
ACAGCAGCCGCCGCGGUAAUACAGAGGGUGCAAGCGUUAAUCGGAAUUACUGGGCGUAAAGUGCGCGUAGGUGGUUUGUUAAGUUGGAUGUGAAAUCCCCGGGCUCAACCUGGGAACUGCAUCCAAAACUGGCAAGCUAGAGUAUGGUAGAGGGUGGUGGAAUUUCCUGUGUAGCGGUGAAAUGCGUAGAUAUAGGAAGGAACACCAGUGGCGAAGGCGACCACCUGGACUGAUACUGACACUGAGGUGCGAAAGCGUGGGGAGCAAACAGGAUUAGAUACCCGUGUAGUCCCUGUCUCUUAUAC